This 233-nucleotide ribosomal RNA is filed under the name uncultured bacterium. RNAcentral describes it as "partial 16S ribosomal RNA". It matches the Rfam family "Bacterial small subunit ribosomal RNA", at positions 118 to 347 of the family's 1533-position model. The record is from RNAcentral.
UGAGGAACAUGACUUUCGGUGGGGGAUAGCCGGCCCAACGGCCGGGUAAUACCGCGUACGACCUUUUGGGGACAUCCCUGAUUGGUGAAAGCAGCAAUGCGCCGAAAGAGUGCCUCGCGGCCUGUCAGCUAGUUGGUGGGGUAAUGGCUCACCAAGGCAACGACGGGUAGCUGGUCUGAGAGGAUGGCCAGCCACAUUGGGACUGAGACACGGCCCAGACUCCUAGGGAGNAG